AACUCCGGGAAACCGGGGCUAAUACCGGAUGCUUGAUUGAACCGCAUGGUUCAAUCAUAAAAGGUGGCUUUUAGCUACCACUUACAGAUGGACCCGCGGCGCAUUAGCUAGUUGGUGAGGUAACGGCUCACCAAGGCGACGAUGCGUAGCCGACCUGAGAGGGUGAUCGGCCACACUGGGACUGAGACACGGCCCAGACUCCUACGGGAGGCAGCAGUAGGGAAUCUUCCGCAAUGGACGAAAGUCUGACGGAGCAACGCCGCGUGAGUGAUGAAGGUUUUCGGAUCGUAAAACUCUGUUGUUAGGGAAGAACAAGUACCGUUCGAAUAGGGCGGCACCUUGACGGUACCUAACCAGAAAGCCACGGCUAACUACGUGCCAGCAGCCGCGGUAAUACGUAGGUGGCAAGCGUUGUCCGGAAUUAUUGGGCGUAAAGCGCGCGCAGGCGGUUUCUUAAGUCUGAUGUGAAAGCCCCCGGCUCAACCGGGGAGGGUCAUUGGAAACUGGGGAACUUGAGUGCAGAAGAGGAGAGUGGAAUUCCACGUGUAGCGGUGAAAUGCGUAGAGAUGUGGAGGAACACCAGUGGCGAAGGCGACUCUCUGGUCUGUAACUGACGCUGAGGCGCGAAAGCGUGGGGAGCGAACAGGAUUAGAUACCCUGGUAGUCCACGCCGGAAACGAUGAGUGCUAAGUGUUAAAGGGUUUCCG
RNAcentral lists this ribosomal RNA (707 nucleotides) under Bacillus licheniformis. RNAcentral describes it as "bacterial SSU rRNA". It matches the Rfam family "Bacterial small subunit ribosomal RNA", at positions 145 to 836 of the family's 1533-position model. The record is from RNAcentral. Lineage: Bacteria; Bacillati; Bacillota; Bacilli; Caryophanales; Bacillaceae.